Molecule: long non-coding RNA, 1484 nt
Filed under: Macaca fascicularis (crab-eating macaque)
Lineage: Eukaryota; Metazoa; Chordata; Mammalia; Primates; Cercopithecidae
Description: lncRNA (ENSMFAG00000048839.1)
Source: RNAcentral
UAUACAAAGACUGCAACUUUAGGCAGAGGUGAAUGAUAAUAGCUGGAAAUUGGGAAAGCUAGGUUAAGAGCGCCUGAAAUAAAUAUCACAAUAGUAAGAUGGAGAACAAUGCAAAAUCAGCAAAGAAAUGUCCACAUAAUAAGGGAUUUAUUAAGCAAAUAAACUCAUGAUUAUUUUUUAAAUUUUAACAGAAGAAUGACUUGAAGAAUAUUUACAAUUACUGGAGGAAAGGCAAAUUACAGAACAUGCAUCUUUUACUUUUUUUUUUUUUUUUUUUUUUGAGACGGAGUCUCACCCUAUCUCCCAGGCUGGAGUGCAGUGGCACAAUCUCGACUCACUGCAACCUCUGCCUCCCACGUCAAGCAAUUCUCUGCCUCAGCCUCCCGAGUAGCUGGGGUUAUAGGCACAUGCCACCACGACCGGCUAAUGUUUGUAUUUUUAGUAGAGACGAGGUUUCACCAUCUUGGCCAGGCUGGUCUUGAACUGUUGAUCCCAUGAUCCACCUGUCUCGGCCUCCCAAAGUGCUGGGAUACUGAGUUUUGGUUGUUGUUUUGUUUUGAGAUGGAGUCUCACUCUGUCACUCAGGCUGGAGUGCAGUGGCACAGUCUUGGCUCACUGCACCCUUCACCUCCUGGGUUCAAAUGAUUCUCCUGCCUCAGCCUCCUGAGAAGCUGGGACUACAGGCACCUGCCACCAUGCCUGGCUAAUUUUGUAUUUUUAGUAGAGAUGGAGUUUCACCAUGUUGGUCAGACUGGUCUUGAACUCCUGAGCCCAAGUAAGCCACCUGCCUCAGUUCCCAAAGUGCUGGGAUUCCAGGCAUGAGCCACCAUGCCCAGCCGACACUGAGUUUUAUAUAUUGCAAGACAGUGCUAUUCGGGGGUUAAGAGGAGAAAAAUACACUCCACUUAGUACUGGUCAAAGUAUUACCAGAGAAGUAUAUCCUGCUUUAUGUUUCAUAACGUAAGGCAUUUACAUGUCAAGGCAUUUUACAAAGCUAAUUAAAUAUUGCCAGAUAUAUUACCCAAAUGGAAAUAAGCAAAAGAAAUACUGGGUUGACAUACAGUACAGGGCUAGUCUUGACUUACUAUUUACAAACUAUUUCUUAAUUCUGUAGGGGCAGAGACUAACUUGUAGAUACAACUGAGUUCAUUAUUCAUAGUAGUUAUGUUCUAUGAAGUUGCCAUGGGCCGGGCGCGGUGGCUCACACCUGUAAUCCCAGCACUUUGGGAGGCCAAGGCGGGCGGAUCAUGAGGUCAGAUUGAAGCCACUCUGGUUAACACGGUGAAACCCCGUCUCUACUAAAAGUGCAAAAAAAAAUUAGCCGGGCCUGGUGGCGGGCACCUGUAGUCCCAGUGACUUGAGAGGCUGAGGCAGGAGAAUGGCGUGAACCCAGGAGGCGGAGCUUUCAGUGAGCCAAGUUUGUGCCACUGCACUCCAGCCUGGGCAACACAGUAAGACUGUCUCAAAAAAAAAAAAAAAAAAAA